CUCGGACGACCUGCUGAGCCUCCCAACCCGCUUCCAUAAGGCUUUGCCUUUCCAACUUCAGCUACAGUGUUAGCUAAGUUUGGAAAGAAGGAAAAAAGAAAAUCCCCGGGCCCCUUUUCUUUUGUUCUUUGCCAAAGUCGUCGUUGUAGUCUUUUUGCCCAAGGCUGUUGUGUUUUUAGAGGUGCUAUCUCCAGUUCCUUGCACUCCUGUUAACAAGCACCUCAGCGAGAGCAGCAGCAGCGAUAGCAGCCGCAGAAGAGCCAGCGGGGUCGCCUAGUGUCAUGACCAGGGCGGGAGAUCACAACCGCCAGAGAGGAUGCUGUGGAUCCUUGGCCGACUACCUGACCUCUGCAAAAUUCCUUCUCUACCUUGGUCAUUCUCUCUCUACUUGGGGAGAUCGGAUGUGGCACUUUGCGGUGUCUGUGUUUCUGGUAGAGCUCUAUGGAAACAGCCUCCUUUUGACAGCAGUCUACGGGCUGGUGGUGGCAGGGUCUGUUCUGGUCCUGGGGGCCAUCAUCGGUGACUGGGUGGACAAGAAUGCUAGACUUAAAGUGGCCCAGACCUCGCUGGUGGUACAGAAUGUUUCAGUCAUCCUGUGUGGAAUCAUCCUGAUGAUGGUUUUCUUACAUAAACAUGAGCUUCUGACCAUGUACCAUGGAUGGGUUCUCGUAAGUUCUCAAUGAGAUUCUUGAUGGCAGAAAAUUGAAUAUCUGGUAGUGGUAAAGGAUGAAAAUGCUUUGAAGCUAUUUUUUUUUUUUGCCAAUGUGACCUUUUAAUAUUGAUUUCUGUGUCUACUGUAAUAUCCCCUAUAGUUUGUUUUGUUGUUGUUUUGCCCACAACAGGCACUCAUUAAGUAUUGUUUGAAUUUAAAUUUUGUCCUAUUGGUUUUUAAUGGCAUUUCUAAGAGUUUACUAUAGAAUUCAGUUGUUUGUUUUCAGCUUUUUAGUGACCUAUACUUUGUUUGUGCUAUUUAAUAAAUGUUAUCCAUAUCUA
Molecule: small RNA, 993 nt
Filed under: Pongo abelii (Sumatran orangutan)
Lineage: Eukaryota; Metazoa; Chordata; Mammalia; Primates; Hominidae
Description: retained intron
Rfam family: Iron response element II (bases 52-82)
Source: RNAcentral